Molecule: ribosomal RNA, 501 nt
Filed under: uncultured bacterium
Lineage: Bacteria
Description: partial 16S ribosomal RNA
Rfam family: Bacterial small subunit ribosomal RNA
Source: RNAcentral
AUUGAACGCUGGCGGCAGGCUUAACACAUGCAAGUCGAGCGGGGGAAGGUAGCUUGCUACUGGACCUAGCGGCGGACGGGUGAGUAAUGCUUAGGAAUCUGCCUAUUAGUGGGGGACAACAUCUCGAAAGGGAUGCUAAUACCGCAUACGUCCUACGGGAGAAAGCAGGGGAUCUUCGGACCUUGCGCUAAUAGAUGAGCCUAAGUCGGAUUAGCGAGUUGGUGGGGUAAAGGCCUACCAAGGCGACGAUCUGUAGCGGGUAGGAGAGGAUGAUCCGCCACACUGGGACUGAGACACGGCCCAGACUCCUACGGGAGGCAGCAGUGGGGAAUAUUGGACAAUGGGGGGAACCCUGAUCCAGCCAUGCCGCGUGUGUGAAGAAGGCCUUAUGGUUGUAAAGCACUUUAAGCGAGGAGGAGGCUACUUUAGUUAAUACCUAGAGAUAGUGGACGUUACUCGCAGAAUAAGCACCGGCUAACUCUGUGCCAGCCGCCGCCGUAA